This is an RNA transcript of Hyposmocoma kahamanoa, 955 nucleotides long. RefSeq lists it as uncharacterized. The transcript has 3 exons. The record is from RefSeq and is a predicted model, not a curated record. NCBI's taxonomy places the organism in Eukaryota, Metazoa, Arthropoda, Insecta, Lepidoptera, Cosmopterigidae.
UGAGGAGGUACUGAAUUCGUGAGCCGAAUUGGGAAAUGACCUUUUCUAAAUUGGUUCUAGUCUGGGUGUUCUGGAAAGUGCCCCAGAGUCUCUCCGCUGGUCUAGUACUCAUAUAAUAGAGAAUUGUUUGGCACAUUAUUACAAUUUGUUUCGUAAAAGAUGUUACUCGAUUUGCUAUUCAAUAUGUCCUUUUUUCUGCAAUUGAUAUUUCUAUGUUUAAUUUGCAUAUAAGGGAUAAACAUCGUGUCCACCAAUCAAACACAGUAGAUAAAUAAGGUUAAAGUUUAUCAAUAGACGUAUUUUUGUACAAAUAAGUGACGGUCAAUUUACCAGUCGCUAAAAUGAUCUCGCUUGGAGUAGUUGCGCGCUUUGGCGUAUUAUUAUUAUUAGUGAUUGUAACUAUUUGUGAAAAAUGCGAAUCUUCAGAGUUAUUUGAAAAACUUAAAAUCAUAAAAUCUAGAAACUUUGACGCGGGCGAUUUUGAACAAGUGGAAUUUGUUCCACAGGAGAUAAAUACAUCAAACGCAGAAGGUGACACGCUGUUACCUAUCGAUUUACAAAAUAAAGGAGAUCAAAAAGAAGUAGCAAGACAACGAAAACGUGCUAUUUUGAGAAACAAUCCACGUGUCGUUAGACAAGCUUACCAAGGUCAAGGAUACCAGCCCCUUUAUCCACACUUGCCCAAUAAUCCGUGGUACCCGAAUACAGACGGCUAUGGACGAUAUCAGCCUGAACCACAACAUGGGAAUGGAACACUGGAGGCUUGGUUGUUUUGGAGAGCAGUCGGGGACCGGCGAUGGUAAUGACAAUAGCACCGACGGGUGCUGUAAUGACGAUGGACAUGAUGCAUACGGUGAAGUAAAUAAAAUUUAAUAAAACAAUAUACCAAAAUCAAUAGCGAGGCUUACUAGUAGUCAAUGUCUAGUAGAAAAUUGAUUAGAACGGACUGAUGUUG